RNAcentral lists this ribosomal RNA (1089 nucleotides) under Clonostachys rosea. RNAcentral describes it as "SSU rRNA". It matches the Rfam family "Eukaryotic small subunit ribosomal RNA", at positions 52 to 1152 of the family's 1831-position model. The record is from RNAcentral. Lineage: Eukaryota; Fungi; Ascomycota; Sordariomycetes; Hypocreales; Bionectriaceae.
UGCAUGUCUAAGUAUAAGCAAUUAUACGGCGAAACUGCGAAUGGCUCAUUAUAUAAGUUAUCGUUUAUUUGAUAGUACCUUACUACUUGGAUAACCGUGGUAAUUCUAGAGCUAAUACAUGCUUAAAAUCCCGACUUCGGAAGGGAUGUAUUUAUUAGAUUAAAAACCAAUGCCCUUCGGGGCUCUCUGGUGAUUCAUGAUAACUUCUCGAAUCGCAUGGCCUUGCGCCGGCGAUGGUUCAUUCAAAUUUCUUCCCUAUCAACUUUCGAUGUUUGGGUAUUGGCCAAACAUGGUUGCAACGGGUAACGGAGGGUUAGGGCUCGACCCCGGAGAAGGAGCCUGAGAAACGGCUACUACAUCCAAGGAAGGCAGCAGGCGCGCAAAUUACCCAAUCCCGACUCGGGGAGGUAGUGACAAUAAAUACUGAUACAGGGUUCUUUUGGAUCUUGUAAUUGGAAUGAGUACAAUUUAAAUCCCUUAACGAGGAACAAUUGGAGGGCAAGUCUGGUGCCAGCAGCCGCGGUAAUUCCAGCUCCAAUAGCGUAUAUUAAAGUUGUUGUGGUUAAAAAGCUCGUAGUUGAACCUUGGGCCUGGCUGGCCGGUCCGCCUCACCGCGUGUACUGGUCCGGCCGGGCCUUUCCCUCUGUGGAACCCUAUGCCCUUCACUGGGUGUAGCGGGGAAACAGGACUUUUACUUUGAAAAAAUUAGAGUGCUCCAGGCAGGCCUUUGCUCGAAUACAUUAGCAUGGAAUAAUAAAAUAGGACGUGUGGUUCUAUUUUGUUGGUUUCUAGGACCGCCGUAAUGAUUAAUAGGGACAGUCGGGGGCAUCAGUAUUCAAUUGUCAGAGGUGAAAUUCUUGGAUUUAUUGAAGACUAACUACUGCGAAAGCAUUUGCCAAGGAUGUUUUCAUUAAUCAGGAACGAAAGUUAGGGGAUCGAAGACGAUCAGAUACCGUCGUAGUCUUAACCAUAAACUAUGCCGACUAGGGAUCGGACGAUGUUAAAAAUUGACUCGUUCGGCACCUUACGAGAAAUCAAAGUGCUUGGGCUCCAGGGGGAGUAUGGUCGCAAGGCUGAAACUUAAAGAAA